Molecule: ribosomal RNA, 243 nt
Filed under: Staphylococcus aureus
Lineage: Bacteria; Bacillati; Bacillota; Bacilli; Caryophanales; Staphylococcaceae
Description: partial 16S ribosomal RNA
Rfam family: Bacterial small subunit ribosomal RNA
Source: RNAcentral
UUUUAUGGAGAGUUUGAUCCUGGCUCAGGAUGAACGCUGGCGGCGUGCCUAAUACAUGCAAGUCGAGCGAACGGACGAGAAGCUUGCUUCUCUGAUGUUAGCGGCGGACGGGUGAGUAACACGUGGAUAACCUACCUAUAAGACUGGGAUAACUUCGGGAAACCGGAGCUAAUACCGGAUAAUAUUUUGAACCGCAUGGUUCAAAAGUGAAAGACGGUCUURCUGUCACUUAUAGAUGGAUCC